This is a long non-coding RNA of Sander lucioperca (pikeperch), 1387 nucleotides long. RefSeq lists it as uncharacterized. The record is from RefSeq and is a predicted model, not a curated record. Lineage: Eukaryota; Metazoa; Chordata; Actinopteri; Perciformes; Percidae. The transcript has 4 exons.
AAUAGAAUGGCACACAAAGCAAUCCGCCCUCUGCUCUUUGUGGCUCCACUUCAGUAGUCUAACGUGGUUUCCUUUCCUCACUGACUUUCAUUGAGCCGUGUUUCUGUUCAAUCAUUGGCUGAGGACUGGGCACGGUGCUGCCUAAUGAUUGUCAGCGUUGUUAUUGUGUUUCUCAUAUUUAAGUGGAUAAGACAGGUGAAAGGAAGCCACUGUAUAUUAUUGAAAGAGCCUGUGUGGUGCUCUGGUGGUUGGGGAGUCUGUCCAAAUGCAGUUAUGGCCGGGAAAGAUGAAUUUGCACCGGGGCAUAGUAAGGCAUCUGUUUGCACAGGAGCUGGUUGAACAGGGCAUGGCAAAGACGACCAAACAGUUUGCAUAGAGGUUAUAUUCUGGAGAUGCAUCCUAAUUUGCUCUUAAGCCACCUACACAUGAGCCACGUAAAACCGCUCUGCACCAUUCUGCAGCGUUCCAUUGUUUUCCUAUGGGGAGAGCGGUGCCUCCCAACCAGGGGUGGGUCUAGAGGGAUGGCCUGGGUCCCCCCGGACGGCCUCUGUUAAGAAAACUACAGAAGAGGAUUCAAGACGAAGAAAGUUCCAUCCUGACUUUCUGAGACUUGAAUCAGAUCAAUCAAAUUUUAAGGUUAAUUGCUUCUCACUUUUUUCCUUAACAAAGGAGAGAAAAUAAAACAAAAAUUAAAGCAUGUCAAACUUCAAAUUAUUUCAACUUUGACUAAGCUGCCGCUGACCUUUUCAAGGCGUAACCCAUUCCAGAAGCAAGAAUAAUGUAUAGCUGCGUCAUGCAUGCUUUGUGCUCUGCGCUCUACCUCACGGUUUUACCGUGGAUCAUGUGUAGGCUGCUUUACAGGUGACAGACACUGUUGACUGGUCUUGAAUUGGAAUUAAGUGCUAUCUUAGUGUAAGUGUUGGUCACUUUGACAUCUUGAGGGAACUGUUGAGGUUUUGGACAGGGGGUUCCAAUAUCAGUAUCCUGCACUAUUGCAGCAACAACAACUCCAAUAACUUGAAUAAAUAAAUCAUUUGGAUGAUGAUGUAUCCUAGAUAGCUAAAGGGACUGCUGCAGUAUCUGUGUGUUGGGAACCUCUGUUCAUCUGGGCACUUUGCUUGUGUUCAAAAUGCAUUUUGUGCAUCCUCUGAUCUCGAGAAGAGUGUGAGAUAACCCAAAGGUCAGAGACUGGAUCCCAAAAUCCUCAACAGUUUUCUCCUCACAAUUUCCCCCACUGACCUGUUAGCCAAUCAUGUCCUGGGUCAUAUGAAAGUUCUGUGGCAUGAAUUUGUUAAUAUUGCUUAUUGCACACAUGCAAAGGCUUGUUAUCGCAGGUCAGAUCCGAACCCUCAGUGUGCUGUGCACGGAUGGCUUUCUCUCUUCUUCC